RNAcentral lists this ribosomal RNA (448 nucleotides) under uncultured bacterium. RNAcentral's name for it is "partial 16S ribosomal RNA". It matches the Rfam family "Bacterial small subunit ribosomal RNA", at positions 29 to 523 of the family's 1533-position model. The record is from RNAcentral.
AACGAACGCUGGCGGCAGGCCUAACACAUGCAAGUCGAGCGCUCCAGCAAUAGAGAGCGGCGCACGGGUGAGUAACGCGUAGGAAUCUACCUUGUAGUACGGAACAACAGUUGGAAACGACUGCUAAUACCGUAUACGCCCUUCGGGGGAAAGAAUUUCGCUAUAAGAUGAGCCUGCGUUAGAUUAGCUAGUUGGUGAGGUUAUGGCUCACCAAGGCGCCGAUCUAUAGCUGGUCUGAGAGGAUGAUCAGCCACACUGGGACUGAGACACGGCCCAGAAUCCUACGGGAGGCAGCAGUGGGGAAUAUUGGGCAAUGGGCGCAAGCCUGACCCAGCCAUGCCGCGUGAGUGAUGACGGCCUUAGGGUUGUAAAGCUCUUUUAGUGGUGAGGAUGAUGACGGUAACCACAGAAAAAGCCCCGGCUAACUUCGUGCCAGCCGCCGCUGUAA